AUUGAACGCUGGCGGCAGGCCUAACACAUGCAAGUCGAGCGGAUGAAGGGAGCUUGCUCCUGGAUUCAGCGGCGGACGGGUGAGUAAUGCCUAGGAAUCUGCCUGGUAGUGGGGGAUAACGUCCGGAAACGGGCGCUAAUACCGCAUACGUCCUGAGGGAGAAAGUGGGGGAUCUUCGGACCUCACGCUAUCAGAUGAGCCUAGGUCGGAUUAGCUAGUUGGUGGGGUAAAGGCCUACCAAGGCGACGAUCCGUAACUGGUCUGAGAGGAUGAUCAGUCACACUGGAACUGAGACACGGUCCAGACUCCUACGGGAGGCACCAGUGGGGAAUAUUGGACAAUGGGCGAAAGCCUGAUCCAGCCAUGCCGCGUGUGUGAAGAAGGUCUUCGGAUUGUAAAGCACUUUAAGUUGGGAGGAAGGGCAGUAAGUUAAUACCUUGCUGUUUUGACGUUACCAACAGAAUAAGCACCGGCUAACUCCGUG
This 484-nucleotide ribosomal RNA is filed under the name uncultured bacterium. RNAcentral describes it as "partial 16S ribosomal RNA". It matches the Rfam family "Bacterial small subunit ribosomal RNA", at positions 30 to 507 of the family's 1533-position model. The record is from RNAcentral.